AACCUGAUCCAGCCAUGCCGCGUGAGUGAAGAAGGCCUUCGGGUGUAAAGCUCUUCGGACCGGGAAGAAAUCGCAUGGGUGAAUACCCUGGUGUGGAUGACGGUACCGGAACAAGAAGCACCGGCUAACUACGUGCCAGCAGCCGCGGUAAUACGUAGGGUGCGAGCGUUAAUCGGAAUUACUGGGCGUAAAAGCGUGCGCAGGCGGUUUGGUAAGACAGGCGUGAAAAUCCCCGGGGCUUAAACCUGGGAACUGCGCUUGUGACUGCCAGGCUAGAGUACGGCAGAGGGGGGUGGAAUUCCACGUGUAGCAGUGAAAUGCGUAGAGAUGUGGAGGAACACCAAUGGCGAAGGCAGCCCCCUGGGUCGAUACUGACGCUCAUGCACGAAAGCGUGGGUAGCAAACAGGAUUAGAUACCCUGGUAGUCCACGCCCUAAACGAUGUCAACUAGGUGUUGGGUGGGUAAAACCAUUUAGUACCGUAGCUAACGCGUGAAGUUGACCGCCUGGGGAGUACGGCCGCAAGGUUAAAACUCAAAGGAAUUGACGGGG
Molecule: ribosomal RNA, 551 nt
Filed under: uncultured bacterium
Lineage: Bacteria
Description: bacterial SSU rRNA
Rfam family: Bacterial small subunit ribosomal RNA
Source: RNAcentral